Molecule: ribosomal RNA, 153 nt
Filed under: uncultured Symbiodinium
Lineage: Eukaryota; Dinophyceae; Suessiales; Symbiodiniaceae
Description: 5.8S ribosomal RNA
Rfam family: 5.8S ribosomal RNA
About the family: 5.8S ribosomal RNA (5.8S rRNA) is a component of the large subunit of the eukaryotic ribosome. It is transcribed by RNA polymerase I as part of the 45S precursor that also contains 18S and 28S rRNA.
Source: RNAcentral
CAAUUUUCAGCGACGGAUAUCUUGGCUCGAGCACCUAUGAAGGGCGCAGCGAAGUGCGAUAAUCGUUGUGAAUUGCAGAACUCCGUGAACCAAUGGCCUCUUGAACGUGCAUUGCGCUCUUGGGAUAGGCCUGAGAGCAUGUCUGCUUCAGUG